This 253-nucleotide ribosomal RNA is filed under the name uncultured bacterium. RNAcentral's name for it is "partial 16S ribosomal RNA". It matches the Rfam family "Bacterial small subunit ribosomal RNA", at positions 524 to 776 of the family's 1533-position model. The record is from RNAcentral.
UACAGAGGGGGCAAGCGUUGUUCGGAAUUACUGGGCGUAAAGGGCGCGUAGGCGGCCUUCUAAGUCGAACGUGAAAUCCCCGGGCUCAACCCGGGAACUGCGUCCGAUACUGGAAGGCUUGAAUCCGGGAGAGGGAUGCGGAAUUCCAGGUGUAGCGGUGAAAUGCGUAGAUAUGUGGAGGAACACCUGUGGCGAAGGCGCCUUGCUGGCCAAUUUCUGACGCUGAGGCGCGAAAGCGUGGGGAGCAAACAGG